Elaeis guineensis (African oil palm) is the source of this 2690-nucleotide non-coding RNA. Lineage: Eukaryota; Viridiplantae; Streptophyta; Magnoliopsida; Arecales; Arecaceae. The record is from RefSeq and is a predicted model, not a curated record.
GACCGAUUUCUUGGGGUCGCCUCAGCCGAAUCCCUCUGGCCGGCUCUUUUGGAUUUGCAGCGGGAAAAGGAAUCCCGUGAAGGAGGGCACAACGCUGCGAAUCUCCUGAGAUUUCCCCUGAAUGCCUCCUCUGGGUAACUGGAUCUUUUUAUCGCAUCUGGAAGCAUAGCAUGAGGUUAUAUGACGUCAUGCUUUAGUUAGGUUGCAGCUUUCACCGCUGUUUGUCCGAUUUGUUCAAAAUUCCCAACUGUGAGUUGUUUUGUUAAAAUCUGCCGCUUCAAAUCUGGCAAGGUGGACUCUUUUACAAUAAAAGAAGGUUAUCUUGGUCCCGUCGAUGCCCCUCUCUGCUGCCCUUGGAUGCCCUAUCUGAAAAGAAAAGCCUGCUCUCCCUUCUCGAUAACAUUCAGCUUUCCUCUGACCGUUCUGUUGGAAAGCAAACAGCAAGGACUGAGUACAAGAGAGAAUCUUUCAAAAAAGAUUGAUAAAUUGCUGGGCGGCUCUGUCUUCUGUGAUGAUUCAUCCGAAUGUGAGAAGCACCUCUUCAUCCAAUGUCCUUUUGUGGCUAAAAUUUGGGAAGGGAUUUGUAUCUGGCUGCAAGUUCCACGAUUUGUAUCUUACGUGGUGGAAAAGCUGCUUCCCCAAACCUCCAAGACCAGCAGCCCUCAUGCUCAUUGCAGCCGUUUGCUGGUCCUGCUGGUCUGAGCGAAACGCUUUUGCAGGUUUUGAUCUUUAAUGCUUCAGAUAUGAUAUGAUGCAAAUGUAGGAGGUGGUUACCACUUACCAGAAUGGGAAAUUGCAGUUCUGGGACUGAUCGGCUGCUGAAGGAGUUUUAUAUCCCCAAAUACAUACUGUUACCAGAGUUAUCAGUAGGGCAUCUUUCCCAGUUGUCCUAUGAUAGUUUUUAUCCACACCAAAAGCAGUGGUCGACUUGCAGGUGAUUUGAUUGUAACAUAUGGUGCACUUCUUAACAGAGUAUGGGUACUAUUCAUUCAUAUGCAGAAGAUUAUUACUUUGAAUAGUACCCCAUAUGAUCAGAUUUUAGACUUAAAACUAAUUUGUGUCUCAUGUAGACUAAGAACAUGCAUUCAGAAUGUGUGUGGGUUCUAUUUAAAUUGUAUAAUUUUCAGGUUUUGGAUUUGAGUGAGGAAGCAUCAGAUAUGGCACUGCACAAGCUUUAUUGCAAUUUGGAAAAACUCAAGCCUGAAGGAAAUAGUCUUGCUGCUGAAAUUGAGAUGACAUUGAAACUGAUAGUGAGUAAAAGGGUUCAAAAUAAAAAUAAGAAACCAUCCCUCCUCGAUCCUAAUCUUUAUGUAGUUGUAAUAUAUCUGAAAUUCCCAGUGACACGGGUAUUUCAUUAGGUUGGAUGUGGUGAUGGUACAACAAGUUGGUCUGCUGGAGUAGUUUGCGAUCUCAAACUGGCUUACCUGCCUCCUAUUGCUACGGUGCUUUUAGGAACUGGAAACAACCUUCCAUUUUCAUUCGGUUGGGUGUGUGAAACAAUAGAGUUCAUUUUGAACUUUUUGAGUUUAUCCAACAACUGUUUGUUUUCCAUGUACAUGCAGCCUGGUGAUUUAUCCAGAAAUAUACUAUUUAUGAUGGAACUCUUGGAACUGGCCAUGUGAAGCUGAAAUCUUAUCUAGAGGUAGUGAUGAAAGAAAGAUAAAUGAAAAUCAAUAGCUGGCAUAUCAUCAGGAGAAUGUGAGCUCUGAGGCCGAGUUCUUGUGAUCCAAUUGCUCCUCUGGAGUUGCCAUAUUCACUGCAUGUGUUUCAUCGUGUUUCAGAUACAGACAAUGUGACUACCUAUGUCAAGCUUGGAUGUACACAAGGAUGCUUUUGUGCCUCUUGUUUUUAUCCUUCUUCAAGGUGGGGGAAAACAACCUGUGGGGCCUUUUUGGAUGCUCAAAUAGUCUGUCUGUGGAGUAAUCUAUAUAUGUUGGCUUUCAGGAGAAUUGACCAUGUGGGGGACAAUUUGUACCAAUUUGAAACAUUUUAAUUCAUAGAAUCCCAAAAUAAUUUGAAUAUGAUAAAUCAAGUGGAACUGGGUACUAUCAUAUUUUCAUAAAUGUGCAAGCUGGUCGCUUCCCUAUGAAACAAAAUUCUUCUUAUAAGUUGCUGCGCUUGGAAUUUAUCCCACGGAUAACUUAGGAUCUGUUUGGAUGAUUGGGCUCAAAAUCCUGUGGGAUUUGUGGCCCAAGUAUCAAAAAUAAUGAACUAUAAGCAGGUUGCCAUUUGUUUACAAGUAUCCAAAAUCAUUUUUUGAAUGGGCUGGCCCGGAUCUCAUAGGGAGAAAAAAAUGAUUUGUUGAGGUCCUAUGGGAUCCGGACCAGCCCACUCAAAAACGAUCCUAGAUAUUUAUAAAUAUAGGGCCUAAUCUACUUAUAAUCCAAUAUUUUUUAUGGUUGGGCUGUGAAUCCUAUAGAAUUUUGGCUGCAACCAUCCAAACAGAUCCUUAAUUGGGCAUUGGAGCAUACUUGUAGUGCCAUCUUUAGAAGAUACCAGAUGUUCGACAUCAUAGACUGAUAGACCUUCUCUACUGUUUAUGAUGCCAAUUCAAAAAUUCAGGCCUAUGUAUAAGUUGGUCUAGCUAUAAAGCACAAAUUGGAAGAAUUUUCUUAACUGAAUGCCAACCACUUUAGAGGCCAUGUAUUUGUUGUUUUCUCUUGUUAAUAAGUAGGGACAACCAUAUGUAA